This 22-nucleotide microRNA is filed under the name Plutella xylostella (diamondback moth). Its description in RNAcentral is "pxy-miR-8496". The record is from miRBase by way of RNAcentral. Lineage: Eukaryota; Metazoa; Arthropoda; Insecta; Lepidoptera; Plutellidae.
AUUUGUAAUACACGUUGUUCUU